AGCUUUGCGCAGCGGCAGUAUCGUAGCCAAUGAGGUUUAUCCGAGGCGCGAUUAUUGCUAAUUGAAAAAUAUGACCAAUGUGUGCUUUUGGAAGGGAGGGGUAUUUACCUGAGAGAUGAAACUAUGAAAGAGUCAAAUAAAAAUGCCU
Small nuclear RNA from Leptonychotes weddellii (Weddell seal), 148 nucleotides. RefSeq annotates it as U4 spliceosomal RNA. The record is from RefSeq and is a predicted model, not a curated record. NCBI's taxonomy places the organism in Eukaryota, Metazoa, Chordata, Mammalia, Carnivora, Phocidae.